Long non-coding RNA from Nannospalax galili (Upper Galilee mountains blind mole rat), 1618 nucleotides. RefSeq lists it as uncharacterized. Lineage: Eukaryota; Metazoa; Chordata; Mammalia; Rodentia; Spalacidae. The record is from RefSeq and is a predicted model, not a curated record. The transcript has 3 exons.
GCCAAGAACGACCUUGAACUUCUGAUCCUCCUGCCCCUGCCUCCCAAGUGCUGAAAUUACAGUGCACCACAAUACACUCAGCACCCUCCCUCCUUCCCUCCUUCUCUCCCUUCAUUCUUUCUCUUUUUUGGCAGGGUUUCAUGUAAUGCAGGUUGGUCUCAAAUUCAAUAUGUAAUAAAGGACAGCCCUGAACUCCUGAUUCUUCUACCUUAGCCUGCCAGCGCUCAGACUUCAAGCAUAUACCACUAUGACUGGCUUCUGAAAUGUAGAAGAUUUGAUCUUGAACUAUUGACCUUAGCAGAGUAUUCCUCUUAACAGCAGGCAAUACAAGGCUGAGUGCCAGGAGGCUAAGCUUCUUGGGGCUCCCCCUUGUGUUUCUCCAAUGUUAUCGUAGCUCCUUAGGUUGUUGGACCUGAGAGACUGGAGGGAAGCUGGUCCUAGACAGUACUUCAUCUUUUUCUUUUCUUUCUUUUUCAGUACUUGGAAUUGUACCUAGAGCCUUAAACACACUCUACCACUAAGUUACACCUCAUCCCCGUUCUGCCUCUUUAACAAGUCCAUUCCAAGCACAGCUCCCUCAAGUCAGACCACGGCCAGAUGUGGUGGCGCACGCCUUUAGUACCAGCACUCUGGAGGCAGAGGCAGGUGGACCUCUGUGAGAUCAAGGCCAGCCUGAUUUACAUAGUCCACUGCCGAGCUGAGCUGGCCUUCCUGCCUCUCCUGGCAUAGUCAACACAAACUGUGGAUGAAGAUCUGUGCCAAGGUCCCCGGAGACUCCAGAGAAGAGAGAUGCCCAGUCCCCAGGAGGAGGGUCCCCAAGGGGAGGGUCCCCAAGAGGAGCACAGGCCAGCUGCAACUCCUGAAUCAUCCAUCCACCUACAUCUUCCCCAAACUGGCCCCAGUCCACCCAUCACCCUUUGGUCUCUAUCUUCCACCCAAGUGCUGGGAUCAUAGUUGUGCACCACUAAUGCCUGGUUUUACGUGAGCUGGGGGGUGAACCCAGGGCUUCAUGCAUGCUCGGCAAGCACUCUACCAAUGGAUCCAUGUCUCCACCCAAUCCUUCAACCUCUCCUUUAUGGCAAAUAAUAGUUUUCUAUCUUAGCGAUUUAAAAUGCCCAUUUUAAGGCCGGGCAUGGUGGCACACGCCUUUAAUCCCAGCACUUGGGAGGCAGAGACAGGCGGAUCUCUGUGAGUUCCAGGCCAGCCUGGUCCACAUAGUGAGUUCCAGGACAGGGGCUACAGGGAGACCCUGUCUCAAAAAGAUAAAAAAAAAAAUGUCCAUUUUAAGGAUGAAGAGAUGGUACAGUGGUCAGGAGCGCUUCUUUGCCCUUUUAGAGGACUUGAGUUUGGUUGCCAGCAUCCAUUUGGGCUGCUCACAAGUGCCUACAUAUAACACUAGUUCCAGGGUAUCUGAUGCCCUUUUUUGGCUUCCAUGGGUACCAGCACACACAUGGCCUACACUGAGUCAUAUAUGCACACACACACACGUGCACACACUUAAAAAUUUUUUAAAAUUGUUUUAUUUAUGUGUAUCUGUGUGUUGGCAUGUACACAAGAGUACAGAUGCCAAAGGAAACCAGAGGCAUUGGAUACCCCUGGAGCUGGAAUUACAGGCAGU